CCGGCACGGGUGAGUAACACGUAUCCAACCUGCCGUCUACUCUUGGACAGCCUUCUGAAAGGAAGAUUAAUACAAGAUGGCAUCAUGAGUCCGCAUGUUCACAUGAUUAAAGGUAUUCCGGUGGACGAUGGGGAUGCGUUCCAUUAGAUAGUAGGCGGGGUAACGGCCCACCUAGCCUUCGAUGGAUAGGGGUUCUGAGAGGAAGGUCCCCCACAUUGGAACUGAGACACGGUCCAA
RNAcentral lists this ribosomal RNA (237 nucleotides) under uncultured bacterium. RNAcentral's name for it is "partial 16S ribosomal RNA". It matches the Rfam family "Bacterial small subunit ribosomal RNA", at positions 100 to 334 of the family's 1533-position model. The record is from RNAcentral.